This 253-nucleotide ribosomal RNA is filed under the name uncultured bacterium. Its description in RNAcentral is "partial 16S ribosomal RNA". It matches the Rfam family "Bacterial small subunit ribosomal RNA", at positions 524 to 776 of the family's 1533-position model. The record is from RNAcentral.
UACGUAGGGUGCGAGCGUUAAUCGGAAUUACUGGGCGUAAAGCGUGCGCAGGCGGUUUUGUAAGCCAGAUGUGAAAUCCCCGGGCUUAACCUGGGAAUGGCAUUUGGGACUGCAAGGCUUGAGUGCGGCAGAGGAGACUGGAAUUCCUGGUGUAGCAGUGAAAUGCGUAGAUAUCAGGAGGAAUACCGAUGGCGAAGGCGGCGACCUGGGUAGAUACUGACGCUGAGGCGCGAAAGCGUGGGGAGCAAACAGG